Molecule: RNA transcript, 4501 nt
Organism: Gambusia affinis (western mosquitofish)
Lineage: Eukaryota; Metazoa; Chordata; Actinopteri; Cyprinodontiformes; Poeciliidae
Gene: rnf183
Gene name: ring finger protein 183
Exons: 3
Source: RefSeq, a predicted model, not a curated record
AGGCAGAGAGAGAGGAGUGUGUGAAGAAGAGCCCAGGUUUGUCAGUCCGGAUCAGAACCGCUGGGCUUUCUUUACUCAAAGAUGAAGUUUUUUGAUCCCACUUGUCGCAGCAGGAUUACCUGAGUGUCCGGAGCGGAGCGGAAAACCGGAUUGGACCUUUUCCGACUUAUCAGCUGUUUGGUGAAGGAGAGCCAUCAUGAGCAGACAGGGCGAGGGCCCCCGGGGGUCCAGGAUGCCCCAGAACGUCAAGCCUAAACCGGGCCAGCCGGCUCCGACCCGGAAGGACCGGCCCCAAAAGGCGCGGCGCUCCCGCAGCAGCGACUCAGAGCGAGGGAGGAGGCGGGAGCGUCUCCAUGACGACCGGCACCAGCGGGGCCACAGCGAGGAGACGUGGCGGCGGGACGGGACGGACGCGGAGCGGCGGAACACGCCCCCCGUGGACAUGCUGGGGGACACGGAGUGCGCCGUGUGCUUCUGUUCCUAUGACAACGUCUUCAAGACGCCCAAGCUGCUGGCCUGCGGUCACACUUUCUGCCUGGAGUGCCUGGCGCGCAUCAACGUCACAUCGCCGGAGAUCAAGACGUUGUCGUGCCCCGUGUGCCGCGUCCUGACCGAGCUGCCCCACGGCCGCGACCUGCCCCGCCUGGGCAACAACCAGGACGUCAUCGGCCGCCUGCCGGACAACAUGCGCCGCGCGCUGUCCAUCCGCUUCCAGCGCAGCAAGGGCCGGCUGCUGCUGAAGCACCGGCCCCCCGCCGCCAAGCCCGCCGCCCUCAGCCUGCCCGUCAAGAAGCAGCAGGCCCCGCCGGCGGCCGCCCAGGGCACCGACCCGGCCGCCGCAGAGGAGGGCGGCGCCCCGCCCACCAUGGUGGACGUGGGCAGACCGCCGAGCAGGAUGAGGGGUCGCGUGCGGCGCCUGUUCCACGCCGACCGCUGCUACUACGCCGUGGUGGUGUCCAUCAUCACCAUCACCGUGGCGCUGAUGAUGGUGGGCAUCCUGGCCUUCAUCAUCGUCCCCAAAGUGACGCCCGGACCUGGCAGACCCGGCGGGAACUUUACCGGCUCCUCCUCACAUGAUAACAGUGACGACUAAGAUCCGAACUCACCCUGAAGGGGCGGAGCCAAAGGGGGCGGGGCCUGAAGGGGCGGGGCCAGAGGUUUUACUCCGGGUGUGAAACAUUGAAGGACGAGGACUGAGGCGUUUUUUGCGGCUGAGCAUGAAGAACUUUGACCCCUGAGGGGUCAGGAAGGAUUAGGCUGAGGUUUUACUCCAGAUAUGAAGCGGUGAAGGAUUGAGGAAGAGGAAGAUGGCGCCGUUUCUCCAGGCUGAGUGUGAAGGAUAUGGGGUUCCAUCCGUGACGAUACAGUGAAAAAUUAACGGCAAUAAUUUAAUAUUUAACCAUCAUAAGAGAAAAAAUGGAAAUGAAUCUUUCAUUCAUCUUUUCACCAUAUUCUUAUGCUCAUUGUUUAGUUAGCAAAUUAAAUAUUUAACUUUAAACUAAAAAUGUUGCUCCAAGCUAAAUAUUUAAUUAGAAAGCUAAAUAAUUAGCUGGUUCAAUAUCUACUUUGAAACUGUGACAUUUAUAAAUGAAUGAAUGUGAAACUGUAACUUUGAAACCGUUUUCUCUUAUGAAAAUAGAUAAUUACUGGUUAGGUUUUGACUGCGUCUCUCAGCCACCGAAUCUGAAUGUGAAACAGAAUCGGGGGGAGAAUCGUCUCCAGACCAUGAAAAGCACUAAACCUUCUGAAACUCCUUAUUUAUACCCGGAACUCUGAACAGAAAUGAUGUACAGAGACUGACAGGAAUCCGAUUCAAUAAAACUGUUUUUAUUCAAAUGCUUCCUGGAGAGUUAUUUUAUCUCUGAUUUCCCUGAACUGUGACACCUGACACUCUAGUGGUGAAAGCACAACGGCUGAGAGCGGGCCCAGUUCGGGCCCAGUUCAGGUCCAGGUGGACCAGCCGGUUCCACCGCAUGCCGACACACUGCUUGAUGCCGGGUCCGUAACCCAGGGCAACAGAAGGAAUGCGGGAAUGUCAGGAAACAUCCGGGCGACCAAAUCUGAUCCCACAUUACAGGAACAACUGAAACAGAAAUAAACUGAAACCUUUUAAUUUCAGCUGCCUUGAGGUCUGGACUUUGACUAGACCAUUGCAACCUCUAGAUUCCGUUGCAGAUUGGGAGUGCAGCUUUGAAAAUCAGCUGCUGUCCACUUUUGCUCUGCUGUGGAAGGAUGAAAAACAAUUUAAUUGGAAAAAUAAAAACCUAAAGGAAGGAAUAUUUUAUUAUUUUUAUUUUAUUUUAGUUAAUUUAGUAGUUUGGGUAAAACCAGGGGUCUGUAAUCAGGCUAAACAUAAUUGUCAACUAAAACACAAAUGUAGGUCUCAACAGGUUUUUAUUAAAUAAGUACAUUAAAUUUCCACAACAAAAAUAUAUCAAAGUACCAGCUCUGACACCAGCAGAAGUGCUCUACUGCAGUUUUUCCUUCCACUAACCUUUCUGUUAUGGACCUUUGACAGUAUUUCUAGUUGCUGAUGAGCUUUGUGGUCGUGACAACUUGUCUGUAUUUUGCUCAGUCUUCCAGCUGCCGUUGUUUCUCUCAGAUAUGAACUUUCUGAAUGAUAAUUUCUCAGAUAUAGCUGAAUAUCCUGACUUGUGUAAUCAGUGUUGUUGCUGUUCUGUGUUUCUCUGCUCUGGAAGCUAAAUUAAGACCUUUGACCCAGUUUUAUUUGGUGCUGAGUCUCAUGACAGCCUCUCCUUGAAGACACACCCCAGUGGGACUGGAACAUGGUCUGGACCCCUCGGCCCUCCGCUGCUCCCCUCCUUUAGCCUCUCCAAGCCUCAUUAUGUGACUCUCUGCUCGGCUGCGGACCUCCAGGACGAACCGACUCCUUCUCGCCAUGGCUUCCACCCCCUCCGCCUCGGCCCUGUCCGCCGUGCUCCGCUGCAGGGGGAACAUCUGGACCAGGAACCCGCCGACCAAGCGGCCUGCCUCGGCGGCGUACAGCCUCGGACUGGCCGGCGGGACGCUGCGCGACUCCCCGGCGAAGCGCGGCGGAUCAUCCCGCGGGUCCGAGUGGAGGAUUCUCCGCCGAGGAGAGCGCCUGGUGUCGGCCGCAGGGCUCUCUGUCUGCUGCAGGGGGGGUAGUGGAGACGGUGAAGCUCCGGCAGAAGAAGUUUUUAAGAAAAAUCAUAAAUUAUCUUCUUCCAAACUUUCCCAAUCCUCGGCUUGUGGCGCCCCCAGCGGCCAAAAGGCGCCACUGCAGCAGAGAGGCGCCGUCUUCUCCAAAAUAAUUCACAUCUUCAUCCCUGAAGCAUCAGAGAGGAUAUGUCUGCAGGGCUUCAUUCAGCUUCCAGUCAGAGUCCUGAAGCUCUCUGUCUCCAUCAGCUCUGGGUUGAAGGUGCAAAACCCCGGUUCUUCCCUCACCUCCUGGGUGUCCUGGUUCAUUUUCUCAAAACGACAGAUAAAGAGUAGCAGCACUGACCCAACACAGGAAAACACACAGAAGCAGGAAAACAUGUGCAGUUCUGGCCGACAGAUGACCCAUGACCCACCUGACUGAGCUCCCCGCAGCCAGACUCCAGCCCAGCAUCGAUCUGCUUACAUUUACUCACAGGUUUGGACGUCGGCCUGCUGGCGCCGUCAGGACCCGCGUCGCUUUAGCUCCCCCUGAACUCCGAGUCAGGAAACAGGAAACCAACGAAAAGCACCAUCUAGUAAAACUUCUGGUGAAAUUCAAACACUGUGGUUAUUUUUCCUUCUCACUGCACAAAAAAUCUGUUCAAUACAAACAGAAAACUACCACACAUGAAACGGCUUUCAUGUCAUUUCCCUUGGCGAUUGUUCAAAAUGGGGUUUUUAAUAAUCAGCUUCUGAAAAUAAAAUCGGUUUCAUUGUUUCCAGUUUUCAGACAAGAAAUAUGAAAACAUGAAUGCAUUCAUUCAUCCAUUUCUUACCUGCUGCUUAAUCUGGUCAGGGUCAGAGGUCAGUUUAUGUAGUCUACUGCAGCGUCAACAAAGAGCCAGUUGUGCAUGCACACCCAGUAAGGUCAAAGGCCAAGCUCAGGAACCAAAAGAGAAAACACUACAGAUUAUCCAGAUUAAGACUCUAGGAACCAGGAGGUCCAGAUGUUCCCACUUUGCACCCAACCUCCAGUGAUCCAUAUGAACACAUGAACAUGAACACAUGAAUAUGGCUUCCUGCUGGUGUUUCCAAGAAAAUGUAAAGUUCAGCUACCAACCUGGACCAGAUAUUCACCGGAUGAAUGUGGAAAGAGUUUCAAAAAUGACCUGAUUCUGAUUCUGACUCUUAUUAUUUUAGGAAAUCUAAAAAUAUUCUGCAGAUAAAUUAUCCUGUUUUUUACAGUCCUUGAAAAACGGGUUGGUCUACAUUUACUUUCUCCCUGAACAGAAAGAGUUUGAAAUGUAAUCAGCCUUUCAGGAAACCAGAGCUUCAGUUUCACAUCCAGUUGAGUGUAAAAUAAAACGUUGUUUUACCAACA